RNAcentral lists this transfer RNA (69 nucleotides) under Equus ovodovi. RNAcentral describes it as "tRNA-His". It matches the Rfam family "tRNA". From Rfam's summary of the family: Transfer RNA (tRNA) molecules are approximately 80 nucleotides in length. Their secondary structure includes four short double-helical elements and three loops (D, anti-codon, and T loops). Further hydrogen bonds mediate the characteristic L-shaped molecular structure. tRNAs have two regions of fundamental functional importance: the anti-codon, which is responsible for specific mRNA codon recognition, and the 3' end, to which the tRNAs corresponding amino acid is attached (by aminoacyl-tRNA synthetases). tRNAs cope with the degeneracy of the genetic code in two manners: having more than one tRNA (with a specific anti-codon) for a particular amino acid; and 'wobble' base-pairing, i.e. permitting non-standard base-pairing at the 3rd anti-codon position. The record is from RNAcentral. Lineage: Eukaryota; Metazoa; Chordata; Mammalia; Perissodactyla; Equidae.
GUAAAUAUAGUUUAACAAAAACACUAGAUUGUGGAUCUAGAAAUAGAAACUCGACAUUUCUUAUUUACC